Molecule: non-coding RNA, 102 nt
Filed under: Pseudomonas fluorescens SS101
Lineage: Bacteria; Pseudomonadati; Pseudomonadota; Gammaproteobacteria; Pseudomonadales; Pseudomonadaceae
Also listed under: 1 other name
Source: RNAcentral
UUUCAACGAUACCCGAGCAUGCUUGCAUGCCAUCUGGUCAGAGCCGGAAGGCAGCAGCCACAGCGGGAACAUUGUGUGCCGGGGUGUGGCUGGUGGGGUUGC